Molecule: non-coding RNA, 26 nt
Filed under: Cricetulus griseus (Chinese hamster)
Lineage: Eukaryota; Metazoa; Chordata; Mammalia; Rodentia; Cricetidae
Source: RNAcentral
GGCUGACGGGAAGAUCUUUGUGGGAA